Molecule: transfer RNA, 72 nt
Filed under: Echria macrotheca
Lineage: Eukaryota; Fungi; Ascomycota; Sordariomycetes; Sordariales; Schizotheciaceae
Description: tRNA-Gln
Rfam family: tRNA
About the family: Transfer RNA (tRNA) molecules are approximately 80 nucleotides in length. Their secondary structure includes four short double-helical elements and three loops (D, anti-codon, and T loops).
Source: RNAcentral
GGUCGUAUAGUGUAGUGGCUAUCACAUCGGAUUCUGAUUCCGGUAACCCCGGUUCGAUCCCGGGUAUGACCU